UACGUCAUAGCCAUUCAUUUUAGUUCCUAAAUCAGGUAGCUAAAGGGUUUUAGUUGUCUGCGUUUAUCUUUGUAAAUUUUAUUUGCACUGUAUAUUAUUAUGUUGGUGACCUCGUCUUUUAAACUUGCUGGUGUUGUAGCAUACGGCCUGCAUUAAUAAGUAACGUUGGUUUAUAUAAAAUAUUCCAAAUAUUCCUCGCACUAAAAAAGCUCGCAGCUGUUUUUGGAAAGUUGUCUUUAAUAUCUCAUUGGCUGGCGCAGCUGUUUGUCAUUCACUGUCGAGCGUCAUACCACGCAUGCUCACUGCGUACCAUUCUUCACCUACACAGGUGCACGCGAAUGUACAAACGUGAGCGUGACGGAAAGGGCUUUGUUUGGCAUUAAAAUUUAAAGUACAUCUAAUGAAAGCUGGAGACAGCUGAAGAAAACGCAGCCCGGUCGGGUUUGCGUUUGUUUACAGGAGAACGUCUACAAUCAAGACUACAAUCAGGACAAGACUACAGUCAUUAAGCAGUCAUUCUUAAGUACACAGAUGGAGCCGGAGCCAGCCAAUCCCAGCAGUCGUCCAGCGAUGGUGUCCGGCGAUGGUGUCCGGCGAUGGUGUCCGGCGAUGGUGUACGGCGAUGGCAGAUGAUGGUGGACGACGGCGAUGACGAAGCUGGCAUGAUGAGCACCACACUCUCAGACCACAGCCACACUAAACAAGCACACCCACAAAAGAGGCUGCAGCCUGGGUACCAUGACUGCAUGUGAAAACCUGGCAGUGUGGGGGAUAAGGAAGCAAUGAACAGGGGGGAAGUAGCGGGUGGCAUGGAGAUAAUCCACAAAGGCUAGGAAGCUGAUGUUAAUUGACUAAACCAACUGCGAAACUAAGAAAAUCAGCAAGAACGAGAUUACAACCCUGUAGGGCGACGUUGAUUUCUGACUUUUUUUUGUCAUCUGAGAAGAGUUUGAUUCCUUUUUUUGUGCUGUCAUUGGAUCUGGCAGUUUUUCCUCUUCUGGAAGAUUUUCUCAUGACUCAGUUGGAUGAAGGCAACUGGGUACAGGGUGGAAUGGAUAAGAGAGAGAGAAAGUGUGUGGGAGAGAGAGGCUGUAUCUCAUGGCAUGUGUGAGUGGACUACACUAACUGACUACAAGGAUGCCAUCAGUCAGCCUGCCACAGCCAAGUCCACGACAGAGCCUGUGGUCUGCUCACAGGACGACUGGGACCACAUGCAUCCUUUUAUGCAAAAUAAAUGGCUUACUAAAUUUUCUCGGCAGGAUUGUUUCCUACAAUUAUUGUAUUACAAAUUAUUUAUGAUAAUUGGCCUGUUAUGCAUCAUCGAUGUGACGCUAACGGCUGAAAGACCCGGUUGUAUUUGGUGUAAAGAGAUAAGGCACGGGACGUCGCUGGAAGAACUAAUUGCUGCAAUCAAGAACAUAUCGGAAAAAGGGAAACACGAAUGGAAAUCUUCCUCAUCAGCGUCUGUCGUUUUUACAGAAAUUCCAAAAAUUAUAUUUUAGUCAUGAUUUUGUUUUCCGUCUGUUCAGGUUUUCCACUUUCCCGUAAAUACUUGGACAAAUCUGAGUUUGUUGUUGUAGAACUGCAACUGAACUUGAAUGUAGCACGGGCAGUUACCAUGUGUGGACUUUACAGGAAAAUGGACUCUGUGUGUGUUAAAUAUCUUAAUAGCAGCACAACUGUGUGUGUGUGUAGGUGUGUGUGUGGGCUAAUGGGUUUAAAAGAAGCCAAAAACGACAAAGGAAAAGUGCUUUAUGUAAGUCAGCAUGACGUGUCUCUUUUUUCCCCUCCCAUGCAUGGAGACAUGCUAAUGUAAAACUACGGGUCACCGUUUCUCUCGCCGUAAGAGGAUGUUGGCGACGAGAAACAAUGACUGUCUUUGGAUUCUUUUGCCGAUGUAAUUUUACCUCAUUGCUCUGGUUUCUUCUCUCGUGCCUGCGCUGCAUUGCUAAUUCCAUGGCGGACCUUUCUUAAUUACAAAGUCAAGAUCAUUAUCCACCACAAUUUCAACGUCCUUAAGGUUUCCAAUUUGCAUUUUUAUUCUCGUUGUCCAUUUAUUAGACGAUGCUGCGUGAUAGCGAGAUUCGUUUUCUGUAUGUGCCGAAUUCAUGUGAGCAAUUAUUUUCAUAAAUGAGCUCUCGGCUGGCAGCUUUUCACACUGCACAGACCUUUUCAUUAUCUCUAAUUAAUCUCUCAUUUAGAUGUAGAAUAUUCACAGUCCUUAUUAUGCGUUAGAAAUUUCACAAUCAAGUUGCAGUGGUUUUACAUGGCUACGAUGGUGUACCCAUAGAUAUUACCUACUGUAUGGACAUUCAGUCAACGUCGCUCAUCGGUCCUGUUAGUGUAAUUAUACAAUAAGUGCUUUCAUACUUACAAUUAUGUGAUGAAUUAAUAGGAAUACUACCUAGUCGAAUGAUUACAAAAUUGGGUAUUAAUAUGAAAAAUUGUCAAGUAGAAUGGAAAAGAAGGGCAAAAAAUAUAUGUUGAACGAAAAAUAGACCGAGACGUAUACUGUAUGUUAAAGGUUGUUUAAUGAACUCGUUCAUUGACACAAAAUAAGAUGAAGACGUACUGGUUGAUUGCAAAAGGGUUUUUAAAUUCCAAAACAAAUCAACAAAGUGUGUUGUCUUCUCUUUCAUUUUCCAUACCUUUUAUAGUGGCCAAAAAAACCCCACAUUUUGACUUUUGUGUAAUUUGGUUUGAAGUACUUUUGCGACAGCCACUGCUGUGUUUUUGUAAACAAAAAGAAACACCUAACAGACUUUCAAAAUUAAAUAAAUGAAAGAUGACAGUAAGGAGGAAAAAAAACACGUUAAUUUGUAAUUUUCUGUGUUACAAAGUGACACCUUUUAUACACUUGACCAAAAAAAGAAUGACAAAGAAGGGAAAUCAAAAAAACAAGUACAUCAGUAUAAAAGUAACACAAACCACUUAUUCGUAUUUGUUGGACAGAAUGUACGCUCACUCAAGUGGAAAAGCCCAGUUUAAAAGGCACCACAGCCAGUCAGUGGAAUAGCUGGUAAAUAAAAGAGAACAGUACUGACAUGAAUACUUCAACUGUUCUUACAUGUGAAAAUGUCUCUGAAUACAUCACAAUAACAGCCCCAUAAUGAGUAUUCAGGCCGUUUUAAAUGUACACUGAGACUAUUAGCCAUAUUUCUCGUCUUCAGGGCUAAAGGUGAUGGACUUUAAAACAUCAGCUGACUGGGUGAUGUUCUCAAUAAAAGAGUAACAUGACACAAGUCACAAGUUAAGACACAUCUCAUCACACAU
Cynoglossus semilaevis (tongue sole) is the source of this 3273-nucleotide long non-coding RNA. RefSeq lists it as uncharacterized. The transcript is spliced from 4 exons. The record is from RefSeq and is a predicted model, not a curated record. NCBI's taxonomy places the organism in Eukaryota, Metazoa, Chordata, Actinopteri, Pleuronectiformes, Cynoglossidae.